RNAcentral lists this ribosomal RNA (556 nucleotides) under uncultured archaeon. Its description in RNAcentral is "bacterial SSU rRNA". It matches the Rfam family "Archaeal small subunit ribosomal RNA", at positions 322 to 882 of the family's 1478-position model. The record is from RNAcentral.
AUUACGGGGUGCAGCAGGCGCGAAAACUUUACAAUGCGAGCAAUCGUGAUAAGGGAACCCCGAGUGCCCGUAUAUUCGGGCUGUCCGCCAGUGCAAAAAACUGGUGAAGAAAGAGCCGGGCAAGACCGGUGCCAGCCGCCGCGGUAAUACCGGCGGCUCGAGUGGUGGCCACUAUUACUGGGCUUAAAGCGUCCGUAGCUUGGUUGUUAAGUCUCCUGGGAAAUCCAUCGGCUCAACCGAUGGGCGUUCAGGAGAUACUGGCAACCUAGGGACCGGGAGAGGUGAGAGGCACUCCAGGGGUAGGAGUGAAAUCCUGUAAUCCUUGGGGGACCACCUGUGGCGAAGGCGUCUCACUAGAACGGCUCCGACAGUGAGGGACGAAAGCUGGGGGAGCAAACCGGAUUAGAUACCCGGGUAGUCCCAGCUGUAAACGAUGCGCGUUAGGUGUAUCGGUGACCACGAGUCACCGAGGUGCCGAAGGGAAACCGUGAAACGUGCCGCCUGGGAAGUACGGUCGCAAGGCUGAAACUUAAAGGAAUUGGCGGGGGAGCACAAU